Long non-coding RNA from Culex pipiens pallens (northern house mosquito), 561 nucleotides. RefSeq lists it as uncharacterized. Lineage: Eukaryota; Metazoa; Arthropoda; Insecta; Diptera; Culicidae. The transcript has 2 exons. The record is from RefSeq and is a predicted model, not a curated record.
AAACAAAAACAAUGACUUUUAUAUCCCGCCGUUUGGCAUGCAUGAUUUUUAAAACCCGCCAAACAAAUCCUAGUAAACUGGGGUUGCGAUGGCCAAAAAAUUCUUGUCAAAUAUUUUCUGUUGUUGUGUAGAACCACACGGUUCUUACCCCGGCGAACACAGUUCAGAUUAAUUCUUUUUUAUUCCAGCCUCAAGUCCGCUGUUCAUGAUGUCCGGCUCAUCCCAGCGUGUGGCAGCUCCAUUAGGCACACUACACAUACUAGGACAGAUCGCCAACCAUCCGAAAUAAUCGGGAAGAUAGUAGGUGAAACUCAAAACGGAUGUUGCACGUUCAAAGCAGAUCUUUCUGUGAUUCCCAGUAGAAGUUUUUGAAAGAUCACGGUGUUUUCAUCUGUUAUGAUAUGACAUCAGGUACGAACAAGGAAAUCCCUGGCCAUGUUCAAGACCCUGACAGCAAAAUCAUGAAAAUAAAAAAAAAUCAUUGAAUAAAAACCUGCAUUCCUCUGUUUGAAACAUAUAUUAGUCACAAUUUCAACGAUAAACAUUAAACUUUUUUAUUUA